Homo sapiens (human) is the source of this 937-nucleotide long non-coding RNA. Ensembl annotates it as long intergenic non-protein coding RNA 511. Lineage: Eukaryota; Metazoa; Chordata; Mammalia; Primates; Hominidae. The record is from Ensembl.
GGUAACAGCAUUCUCAGGGCCUUCUGCCAAGGGCCCGCUUUGAUCUCCCUUAAAGGACAGCAUUAUCUGACCAGAGGUAAAUUGUAACCACUGAAAGUCCGCUGUUUCGAUUCUGGGCAAGAUGCUAUGGCAGAACAGGGACCAUGAUGAACUACUUAGAAAAAUACAUAAGGCCAUCUUAGAAAAGAAAUGAUGUGGAUGUGCUCACCAAGUUAUUUGCAGAGCUUAGCAGAGUGGGAUAGAAGAGACCCAUGCAGGAGACCUCUCCAGGUACACAUAUUUCCUGCUACUGAAUGGCUUAGACUGGGAUUUGCAAGGAACUACGAAGUCCAAGACCUUUGCCUUUCUUUUAGAAGAAGGCACCAGCUGGUUCUCCAAUGUUGAAGGUCUUCUCCAGAGAUGGGCAUGCAGAAGGAGUGAAAAAACAAGAAGGAAGACAAGGAAGACAUUGUUUUGGCUGCUGACAUUUCCUGAAAGAUCUGAGGCGUCCCCUUCACUUCGGGCAUGGGACCCAGACGGCUGAGUGAUGGACCUUAAGGUGUGGGGAGAUUACAACUUGCUCAAGGUCUCAUAGCUAGAAGAUGUCAGAGUGAUAACUCAAACCAUGUCACAUGACUCUAAGCCCAAAGCAGCCUCUAGAAGGUUGUUUGAUCUUCUGAUGGAAGCACAAAUCACCAUUCCAACAUGAAAGAUGGAGAAACUUAAGUCUAGAGAGAUUUAAAGGACUUGUCAAAGGCAAUGAAACAAGUGGAACUCUGAAAGCCACAUGUUGAGAUGGCCCCAUUACAGGAUGGAGAGCACCUGAACCCCCAAGUUAUGGACUAGAAGAAGACAGUUGCCCUGGAAAAUCAUCUGACCCACAUUGGACUUUAUGUGAGGGGGAAAUAAACCUUUAUUAUGUUAAGCUACACAAUAAUAAAUAACAACAAUAAUUGUG